This is a long non-coding RNA of Amblyraja radiata (thorny skate), 213 nucleotides long. RefSeq lists it as uncharacterized. The record is from RefSeq and is a predicted model, not a curated record. NCBI's taxonomy places the organism in Eukaryota, Metazoa, Chordata, Chondrichthyes, Rajiformes, Rajidae. The transcript has 3 exons.
CUUAUUCUUAAACUAUUAUUUUAUGGGGCUCGUCAGCCUGGGAAGGCAGUCCAUCUAGGAGAGGGAGAACUCAGAUUUAAAACAUCUACUGCCUUGUGGCCGUAUCCACUCAUGGAAAAGGCUCCAGGAGUAAACCUCAAGAAAACCCGGAGUCGGAGCCCCUAAGGCAGUUCGUCGUUGUCUACAACCUCGCUCUGGCAGCUCCUGCGACGG